CCCACUGAAUUUAAGCAUAUUAGUCAGCAGAGGAAAAAAAACUAACCAGGAUUCACUCAGAAAUAAUAAGUGAACAGCAUCUCCGGGCAUUGGUGGCACACGCCUUUAAUCCCAGCACUCGGGAGGCAGAGGCAGGCAGAUCUCUGUGAGUUCGAGGCCAGCCUGAUUUCCAGAGCGAGUGCCAGGAUAGGCUCCAAAGCUACACAGAGAAACUCUGUCUCGAAAAACCAAAAACAAACAAACAAACAAACAAACAAAAAUAAGUGAACAGGGAAGAACCCAGCAAUGGAGCCUGACCUCACAGUAAGGUGCAGGAACUGUGUCUUGCCGAAGACCCACUCCUUGGAGCCAUUCAUGGGAGACCCAAGUCCAGAAUUCUGAUGUAGGGACAGGCUGUGGACUGUGUGCAUCCAGUAGCCUGGGUCUUCCCAGAGUGGGGUUGCUUGAGAAUGCAGCCCAAAGUGAGUGGUAAACUCCUUUUAAGGCUAAAUGCUGGUACAAGACCAAUAGUCAACAAACCUUAAGGGAAAGUUGAAAAGAUUU
RNAcentral lists this non-coding RNA (543 nucleotides) under Cricetulus griseus (Chinese hamster). Its description in RNAcentral is "Eukaryotic large subunit ribosomal RNA". It matches the Rfam family "Eukaryotic large subunit ribosomal RNA", at positions 24 to 375 of the family's 3401-position model. Lineage: Eukaryota; Metazoa; Chordata; Mammalia; Rodentia; Cricetidae. The record is from Rfam by way of RNAcentral.